AGUAACGCGUAGACAAUCUGCCCCUUACAGUGGGAUAACUCCGGGAAACUGGGACUAAUACCGCAUAAUAUCUUUUUGUGGCAUCAUUAGAAGAUUAAAGAUUUCGAAUCGGUAAGGGAUGAGUCUGCGUAUCAUUAGCUUGUUGGUGGGGUAACGGCCUACCAAGGCAUCGAUGAUUAGCUGGUCUGAGAGGAUGAUCAGCCACACUGGGACUGAGAUACGGCCCAGACUCC
Molecule: ribosomal RNA, 233 nt
Filed under: uncultured bacterium
Lineage: Bacteria
Description: partial 16S ribosomal RNA
Rfam family: Bacterial small subunit ribosomal RNA
Source: RNAcentral